UCUCCUUCCACCGCCCCCCACAACGUUCUUCUUCCGCCUCUAAUUUUGGGUUUAGGUUUUGAAGAUGCAAUUGACCCAAAACAAUAAGCAUAGAAAUGUCUGUUAUGGUGGAAGCUGAGACUACCAAUUGUCCCAAGUUUGAAGUUGAGAGUUUGGUUCCAGCAGAUAGAUAGUAGGGCAGUCAAGUCUCUGUCGGUGUUAGAGUCGAAUUCCUUCUCCUCUGUCACACCAUUUCCCGAAUCCCCAGUGAGGGAUUGCAACAUUUUUUCAUUCCCAACUCCAUUUCUGCUUCCUUUCUGGUACCAUAUCAACACUCUUCAAUUCUUCAGUGGAGGUCGUCGGCGAUUUGUGUUCUGAAAGCUUCUCCGAGAGUGAAAUAUGUAACGGUCAUAAUUUCUCUCUCUUUUCUCUUAUUAUUAUUUUUUAUUUUAUUUUAUUUCCUAUUCCUAUUCCUAUUAUUAGUUUCCUAAUCCUAUUACUAAUAUUAUUCUAUAUAUAUUCAGAAGUGAGUAGAGUCUUUUGUUGGUCCUUUGUAUUUCGUGAUUGCAGUUGUAGGAGUUUGUUUGUGGUGUUCCUUUGUAAGGUGGUGUUCCGUCAGCACGCCACCUCCAACUGCGGCGGUGGGAGGGAGCACAAGCGGCAACAACAACAACAACGUUAAUGUGGAAGCAGCACAAGUAGUCCCAGUCCAAGAACAGACACAAACUCCUUAAUGUUCGGCUUGAGACCAGCGGCGAAGACUUCAACAGUAGGAAAGAUUAUGGAUGUCCAGCAUACAGGAAAAUGGCUGGUCCUGGCGGGCGCACUGGACCGGGAUUCCGGCUCUCGGCCUUAGGUCUAAGUUGAACCGGAUCGUCUCCUCCCGGGUUCGGUGCUCGCCGCCUCUGGUUCGCAUUCACAGCUCUAUCUGCAUUCUCGGUUGGCCGGAGGUUGUGAAAUAGUUUUCGUGGCAGGACGCUGAAACGGUUGAUGUUUCGGCUCCGGUGCUGCUUGGACGACCACGGCCUCGGAUAUUAUCCAUUUUUUCACCCUCUUCUAAGCAUCUGCUACUUGCCUAUGGCCGGCGUCAUAGCUCUCUUCUUACACAUGAAUUCUUGAGGUAAGAUGUGUUAAAUUUUAUCCCUUUUUUUUGUAUAGGUGCCAUUAAAAUUUAUUCCUUUUUCAUCUCCUCCCGUAGUACUAUAUCACUCAUGCUGGGAUGUAAUUAUGAUGUGC
Ipomoea nil (Japanese morning glory) is the source of this 1215-nucleotide long non-coding RNA. RefSeq lists it as uncharacterized. The transcript has 3 exons. Lineage: Eukaryota; Viridiplantae; Streptophyta; Magnoliopsida; Solanales; Convolvulaceae. The record is from RefSeq and is a predicted model, not a curated record.